Molecule: long non-coding RNA, 267 nt
Filed under: Fukomys damarensis (Damara mole-rat)
Lineage: Eukaryota; Metazoa; Chordata; Mammalia; Rodentia; Bathyergidae
Description: lncRNA (ENSFDAG00000023803.1)
Source: RNAcentral
UGUAGAUGUACACAUCGCAAUAAUGCUCUAGGGCUCUUUAACACUGGCAUUUUGCAGAACUCACCAUAUUUCUCGCAAGAUAGCUUUGCUUUCACUUUCCAGAAGUGGUCGUGCACAACAAGACGCGAGUCAGCAUCCCUCAGGGGUGCCAGUCAGUUGUCCCAAGCCACAGAGGAGAACAGCACUCUGAUUCUAUUCGCAGCGAGGAACCCUGAAGAACUGCCUUCUGGGAGCCAGGUCUGCGUCUCUGCCCCACCGCUGUCUUAG